AAGCCAGGAAAAAUGGCCAGUGUUUCAUGCACUGGGUUUCUAGAGAGAUCUAUCAUGGCCAUCCCAUAUCUGCUCGAAAUUUGCCCGUUGAUGAUUAUCCACUAAACUUGUUCUAAAUUAUUGAUGAAAUCAUGUUGAUUCUUGGGGUUGUUUGGUGGAUAAUUUUGAGUUUGGGGAAGAUGAUA
Long non-coding RNA from Lolium perenne, 185 nucleotides. RefSeq lists it as uncharacterized. NCBI's taxonomy places the organism in Eukaryota, Viridiplantae, Streptophyta, Magnoliopsida, Poales, Poaceae. The record is from RefSeq and is a predicted model, not a curated record.